GCUAUGCUUUGUUUUUUUCUAUUCAUUUAAAAUAAUGAUUGCUUUUCUAUUUUUCAGUUCUUUGCUUAGUCAAAUUUGAGGCUUGUUCCCUUUGCCAAGAUUACAGAGAACAUUGGGGAUUGGGCUUCAUUGUGAUGCCACUUCUCUAACAAUAUACCUCAUUGGAGAGGGAGCUCCUGGCUGAAUUCCUAGAGAGAACUUGCUGAUGAAUUCAGAGCCCAAGUAAUUUGUUAUCUCAUUUCUUUUAUUUGAUUUUUUUUUCUUAUGUUUCUAUUUCUUUAGAUUUGAGACUGUUACUAAAAUAUUAUGUAUAUUGAUGGAUUGCAGCUUAUUGUUAUAGGUUGUGAAUGAGUUCUUAAGGAGGUGCUUUGCUGUCUAUAUCACCACUCUUUCCAAAAAAUAUUAACUUGUUUUGGCCAAAUCAGCUGGAAAUUUUGCGUUGAUUUGGUGACAACAAGGUACAUAGUCAGCUAAGCUAUGUUUUGAAAGAGCAAUUGAAGAGACACUAAGCUAUCCUCCUACUGCAUACUCUGCUUUUUGGUAUAAUAGGAUUGUGUGUGAUGAUCACACGUGAGGAAGUUAUUAAACCAAGUCUUGAUCUUCGAAGUGUAGCACUUAGUAGAGAUGAAUUAGUUCGGACUAGAUAUUCUUGAUUGUUUGACUUGUAAUGUAUUGGACAAGAACAUGGACUAUGUGCUUCUUGAGCAUCAAGACUUGUUGAAUGUUUCGAAGUGUGUUUCCUUGAUUAAUUUUGAAGCCUAAACAAGGCUAAAUAUUGUAAUUCUAUUUAAGUAAUUAAUAAAAAAUAUAUUAUUUA
Humulus lupulus (European hop) is the source of this 817-nucleotide long non-coding RNA. RefSeq lists it as uncharacterized. The transcript is spliced from 5 exons. The record is from RefSeq and is a predicted model, not a curated record. Lineage: Eukaryota; Viridiplantae; Streptophyta; Magnoliopsida; Rosales; Cannabaceae.